This 253-nucleotide ribosomal RNA is filed under the name uncultured bacterium. RNAcentral's name for it is "partial 16S ribosomal RNA". It matches the Rfam family "Bacterial small subunit ribosomal RNA", at positions 524 to 776 of the family's 1533-position model. The record is from RNAcentral.
UACAGAGGGUGCGAGCGUUAUUCGGAAUUACUGGGCGUAAAGCGCGCGUAGGCGGCUUUGCAAGUCGGGCGUGAAAUCCCCAGGCUUAACCUGGGAACUGCACUCGAGACUGCAUUGCUAGAGUAUGGGAGAGGGAAGUGGAAUUUCCGGUGUAGCGGUGAAAUGCGUAGAUAUCGGAAGGAACAUCAGUGGCGAAAGCGACUUCCUGGACCAAUACUGACGCUCAUGUGCGAAAGCGUGGGGAGCAAACAGG